GAGUGUGAACAACUGUGAGGCGAGGAAAGGCCGUGGGGAAAAACGCUCCUCCAGAGGGCUUCCAGAAGAAACAGUGGCUCCUGGGGAUCCUUGAGGUGGAUUAGCAAGAGGCUGCCUGGCUGACCCCAGCUCUCAGAAGGGCUCUCAGGGUGACCUGCUACGACUAUUGGGAGGUGGCAAAUAUAUAAGCAUUUUUAAGGGUAGUACUUUUCCAUCCUAUUCUUUGUCAAUUUUAUUUUCUUCAAAAAUCAACAAGGAAAAGAAAAAUAUAAUGUGGAAAAACCAGAAAACGAAGGAGAAGAAGGACGGCCAGCAGGACACUUAAUUUUUUAAAAAAGGCAGACUGAGGAUCGCUGGAGAACAGAGGCUGUUACAGCUAAGGGCCCCCCAGCAAGGACCAGGCCCCCGGGAGGUGGCUUCUCUUCGCAGCCUGUCGCGGUGUGCCACAGUUCCUCUGAAGAUGUGUAUCGUGGAGCAAGUGGCAGAGCCUGCGUCAUGUCACCUAGCUCACAAACACUGGGAGCUUCCGAUCUUCUAUAAUUAAAUGUUUUCCUCGAGCAAAUGCUAAUAAAACAAUGCCGUGGCUGGCACCGCAUUUGAUUUCCAUCGCGCUUUCCACCUUCUCCUCCUGCCAGCUCUUCACAUUGACUUUUUCCGCAGCUUCAUUCCUUCACUGGUGCCAGGCAGGCGCACUGCACAACCACUUGGGUUUUCUUCCCUCUUUUUGCGCCCGGUGAAUUUUCAUAAAGCAUUUAACGUGAGAACAAGCAGGUUAAUUUCCCGUGCCGUUGAGCCAGGCGCCCUGCAACACUGCCAUGUUUUGGCUUCUGAGUCAGAGGCCUUGGUCCCAGUGGCAAAAACUCUUGCCAGAGCCUUCUCUGUGCAGACACCAGGUGUGAUUUAGCAUAACAGAUUGUGUGGACGUUCAACGGCUUCUCUAAACCGUGCGUCAAAACGAAAUUGUAUCCUUCAUGCGAGAUGAAGAUGAAAGUCUCCUGGGCUGGAAGUUCUGCCAGGAAGGGCCUCUGGACAUACAGGAAGUGGGAAAAUCACCCCACCUUACAACAUAUGCCUAGUUUCAGGACCACUAACGUUCUCUUUCACAAUAUUAGUACCUGGUUAAAAUCCCCCAUCAUAUCACAACGCUGUUUUCCUCUGAUGGUAGGUAGGCAAUGAAGGAUUUUUAAAAAACAUAAAAAGAGGAUGGAAAAAAUGGAAUUGUACGGAAAUUUAAAACCUCAUUGAAUCCGGUCUUUGAUACCUAGUCAAUGGCUUGAACCAUGCAUGAAGCCCUGGUUGACAGUGACUUUGAAUGCCCACGCGCUAGGUGUCAGCUCUCAGGCUAUGGGGAAGACUUUCAGGGAAAAAGCCGAGCUUUGUGGCUGCCACAGUGUAGACCCGAGAUGAGAACAGCCUGUUUUCGAAGAUGGCAAGAUUAGUGUGCCUCAAGAGAAGGGCAGGCCCGAAGCUGAGACACAGGUCACCCCACAGGGAGAGUGACUGAAGUCACAAGAGGACACCGAAGAUGAUUUGAGGACAAGCUUAGCAAACACGACUGCCAGAAUCACCGGCCUUUUUAUCCAGACCACUGCCAGGGGGAUCUUAACACUGAGUGAUGUGCAGGCAGCUAACAGAGAGGACCAAUGGUGUCCCAAUGGUGUGCCAACACCAGGGGCUUGGGGACAAAAUACAUGUGUUCCAACGUUCAAAAUCACCUGAUAACGAUGAUGUCAAUAUAUACACAGUCCUCUUCUAACUUUUCAAAGGGCUUUCAUGCCUGUGAUCUCAUUUGCCCUCACAACAGUCCUGCAGUGUGGACAGCACAGAUUUUAUUAUCCACAUCUGCCUGAAGAACAGAGAGGUUAGGAGACUUCUCUGGAAUCCAGACAACUAGGCAGCACUUGAGGUGAGGCAGAACUCCCAUCUUGGGCUCCCAAUCUUGCAUUUGUCUGCAGAACCCUUCCUUACACCCUCGAGGGUCGGUGAGUUACCCGAUAGCC
Homo sapiens (human) is the source of this 2000-nucleotide long non-coding RNA. Lineage: Eukaryota; Metazoa; Chordata; Mammalia; Primates; Hominidae. The record is from Ensembl.